Long non-coding RNA from Leopardus geoffroyi (Geoffroy's cat), 152 nucleotides. RefSeq lists it as uncharacterized. NCBI's taxonomy places the organism in Eukaryota, Metazoa, Chordata, Mammalia, Carnivora, Felidae. The record is from RefSeq and is a predicted model, not a curated record. The transcript is spliced from 3 exons.
UGGGUGGCUCAACCGUCCAACUUGUGACUUCCGCUCAGGUAGGUCAUGAUGUCCAGGUUUGCGAGUUUGAGCCCGCAUCAGUCUCUGCACUGACAGUGCGGAGCCUGCUUGGGAUUCUCUCUCUCUCUCUCUCUCUCUCUCUCUCCCUCUCU